RNAcentral lists this ribosomal RNA (718 nucleotides) under uncultured bacterium. Its description in RNAcentral is "bacterial SSU rRNA". It matches the Rfam family "Bacterial small subunit ribosomal RNA", at positions 136 to 851 of the family's 1533-position model. The record is from RNAcentral.
CAGGGGGACAACCCGCCGAAAGGCGGGCUAAACCCGCGUACAUGCCACCGGGGCAUCCCGGAGGCAGGAAAGGCUUCGGCCGGACAGGGAUGGGCAUGCGGCGCAUUAGGCAGUAGGCGGGGUAACGGCCCACCUAACCGACGAUGCGUAGGGGUUCUGAGAGGAAGGUCCCCCACACUGGUACUGAGACACGGACCAGACUCCUACGGGAGGCAGCAGUGAGGAAUAUUGGUCAAUGGUCGGGAGACUGAACCAGCCAAGCCGCGUGAGGGAGGAAGGUACAGAGUAUCGUAAACCUCUUUUGUCAGGGAACAAAGACUGGGACGCGUCCCCGGAUGAGUGUACCUGAAGAAAAAGCAUCGGCUAACUCCGUGCCAGCAGCCGCGGUAAUACGGAGGAUGCGAGCGUUAUCCGGAUUUAUUGGGUUUAAAGGGUGCGCAGGCGGUCUGUUAAGUCAGCGGUCAAAGCCCGGGGCUCAACCCCGGCCCGCCGUUGAAACUGGCAGUCUCGAGUUGGAGGGAAGUAUGCGGAAUGCGCGGUGUAGCGGUGAAAUGCAUAGAUAUCGCGCAGAACUCCGAUUGCGAAGGCAGCAUGCCGGCUCCACACUGACGCUGAGGCACGAAAGCGUGGGUAUCGAACAGGAUUAGAUACCCUGGUAGUCCACGCAGUAAACGAUGAAUGAUGGCUGUCCGGGGGGACUGACCCCUGGGUGGCGAAG